GAACAGUUGAGGUAAUACACUGAGUAGGGGCAGUUGUGUAGAGAUCUCCAAACAAGGCUGCAGUCCUCCCUUAGUUCCAUCGCAAUUAGAGCACCAUAGUAGCUGAGGACUCCAAAAGCAGUGAUGAAGGAUGGGCUGUGGGAUCCACACUGACUACAACAUCCUGAAGAACAACAGUUACUGCUAGGUGUCACUGGAAUCAGAGGAGAUACAAGAUGAGAGGUUGAGAGAAAGGAAAUAGCUGAAUAGCAC
Molecule: long non-coding RNA, 252 nt
Organism: Mauremys mutica (yellowpond turtle)
Lineage: Eukaryota; Metazoa; Chordata; Testudines; Geoemydidae
Exons: 3
Source: RefSeq, a predicted model, not a curated record